GGGCUCACACAAGCGGUGGAGCAUGUGGAUUAAUUCGAAGCAACGCGCAGAACCUUACCUAGGUUUGACAUGCUUGGAUGCCAAUCUGGAAACAGAGGAAGCUGCCUUCGGGUGAAACUUGCACAGGUGCUGCAUGGCUGUCGUCAGCUCGUGUCGUGAGAUGUCGGGUUAAGUCCUUUAACGAGCGAAACCCUUGCCGUUAGUUGCCAGCGGGUCAUGCCGGGAACUCUAACGGGACUGCCGGUGUUAAACCGGAGGAAGGUGGGGAUGACGUCAAGUCAUCAUGGCCUUUAUGCCUAGGGCUUCACACGUGCUACAAUGGCGGCAACAAAGCGACGCAAGACCGCGAGGUGGAGCAAAUCGCAAAAAUGUCGCCCCAGUUCGGAUUGUAGGCUGGCAACUCGCCUGCAUGAAGUUGGAAUCGCUAGUAAUCGCGGAUCAGCUAUGCCGCGGUGAAUGUGUUCCUGAGCCUU
This 473-nucleotide ribosomal RNA is filed under the name uncultured bacterium. RNAcentral's name for it is "bacterial SSU rRNA". It matches the Rfam family "Bacterial small subunit ribosomal RNA", at positions 917 to 1382 of the family's 1533-position model. The record is from RNAcentral.